This 61-nucleotide microRNA precursor is filed under the name Cavia porcellus (domestic guinea pig). RNAcentral describes it as "Cpo-Mir-10-P1c-v2_pre stem-loop". It matches the Rfam family "mir-10 microRNA precursor family", at positions 9 to 66 of the family's 74-position model. Rfam says of the family: In this case the mature sequence comes from the 5' arm of the precursor. The extents of the hairpin precursors are not generally known and are estimated based on hairpin prediction. Lineage: Eukaryota; Metazoa; Chordata; Mammalia; Rodentia; Caviidae. The record is from RNAcentral.
ACCCUGUAGGUCCGAAUUUGUGUAAGGAAUUUUAUGGUCACAAAUUCGUAUCUAGGGGAAU